Molecule: ribosomal RNA, 866 nt
Filed under: uncultured bacterium
Lineage: Bacteria
Description: bacterial SSU rRNA
Rfam family: Bacterial small subunit ribosomal RNA
Source: RNAcentral
GAUGAACGCUAGCGGCAGGCCUUACACAUGCAAGUCGAGGGGUAACAUUUGUGCUUGCACAAGAUGACGACCGGCGCACGGGUGCGUAACGCGUAUACAAUCUACCUUUUGCUGAGGGAUAGCCCAGAGAAAUUUGGAUUAAUACCUCAUAGUAUGCAGACUUCUCCUGAAGAUUGCAUUAAAGGUAACGGCAAAAGAUGAGUAUGCGUCCUAUUAGCUAGAUGGAGUGGUAACGGCACACCAUGGCAACGAUAGGUAGGGGCCCUGAGAGGGGGAUCCCCCACACUGGUACUGAGACACGGACCAGACUCCUACGGGAGGCAGCAGUGAGGAAUAUUGGACAAUGGAGGCAACUCUGAUCCAGCCAUGCCGCGUGCAGGAAGACUGCCCUAUGGGUUGUAAACUGCUUUUAUACGGGAAGAAACACCACUACGUGUAGUGGCUUGACGGUACCGUAAGAAUAAGGAUCGGCUAACUCCGUGCCAGCAGCCGCGGUAAUACGGAGGAUCCAAGCGUUAUCCGGAAUCAUUGGGUUUAAAGGGUCCGUAGGUGGAUGAUUAAGUCAGAGGUGAAAGUCUGCAGCUCAACUGUAGAAUUGCCUUUGAUACUGGUUAUCUUGAAUUAUUAUGAAGUAGUUAGAAUAUGUAGUGUAGCGGUGAAAUGCAUAGAUAUUACAUAGAAUACCAAUUGCGAAGGCAGAUUACUAAUAAUCAAUUGACACUGGUGGACGAAAGCGUAGGUAGCGAACGGGAUUAGAUACCCCGGUAGUCUACGCCGUAAACGAUGGAUACUAGCUGUUGGAUUUCGGUUCAGUGGCUAAGCGAAAGUGAUAAGUAUCCCACCUGGGGAGUACGUUCGCAAGAAUG